Molecule: long non-coding RNA, 1055 nt
Filed under: Cricetulus griseus (Chinese hamster)
Lineage: Eukaryota; Metazoa; Chordata; Mammalia; Rodentia; Cricetidae
Description: lncRNA (ENSCGRG00000026406.1)
Source: RNAcentral
GUGUCCUUUGAGGCCAGAAGAGUGUGUUUGGAGCUGCCAUUUGGGUGCUGAGAACCAAAUCUGGUGUCUUCUGCAAGAGUAGCAAGUGCUCUUAACUCUUGGCCACCUCUCCAGUCCUCCUCCUCUGCUUCUUAAACUUUGCAUUUCUCAAGAUCACUUGUAUGCAUGAGGUGAGGAUAGAACUGCCUGAACUUUGGUGAGCUGAGCCCCACAGCUAAGAACAUUCUGAACAUGAUGACUACUACAAGGGGCUGUUGUGACUAACACCAGGGCUUUUUAUUUCUAGUCUAUGGAUUAAUCUACAGUUACUCUGUCUGCCUACUGACAGCCAUGGAAGAGUGUCUCAGUAACAUGGUCAUAGAUAACGAUACUGAAAAAGGCAGAUGGCCUUGGGCUCCUGUUCUGUGGGAGAGAUACCUCGAAGGAAACUUCUUGGGUUAAAAGAUAUGGACAGUCAAAACACUGAUAGAUUCCCUCAGUUACCCUCCAAAAUAAGACCAACUGUGACCAACAGUUCACUUGCCUGGAAAAAGAGAUAAAUACGUAUCUUCCCCUACUCUGUGUUCUGGAUUCUUCUCUUCCUUCCUGUGCAAAGCCUAAGUGAACAUGGAAUAGAACACAGAUCCACCCUUUUCUUCUCUGUAUUGCAGAGUCUGGCCACAGCUAAAGGACCAAAAUGACUGAUUCAAAAUACUUCACAACAACCAAGAAAGGGGAGAUCUUCGAGCUGAAGGCAGAGCUUAACAGUGACAAGAAGGAGAAGAAGAAGGAGGCAGUAAAGAAAGUGAUUGCAUCAAUGACUGUGGGCAAAGAUGUCAGAGCUUGCUUUGCUGAUAAUGCCUGAGAGAACCAUUUGGGCGAUUCACUUCCUCUUCCUCUCUCCAGAGUGGCUCUGUUCUUGAUGGUGCAUCAUCUUUCCAGGUGAUUUUAUCCAUUGCAGCUCUGAAGGAACAUGGCCUGAUGGGUAUCCACUUCAUUUUCUAUGUUACCUUGUUCUUGGCAUUAAAACCCAAGAAUUAAGCUGGGCAUUGUAGGCACAUGCCUUUAAUCCCAGC